UGAAGUGUAGCUCAGGGGUAGGGUGCUUGCCUAGCAUGCAUGAGACCCUGGGUUCAACCCUCAGCACUGCAA
This 72-nucleotide transfer RNA is filed under the name Marmota marmota marmota (Alpine marmot). It matches the Rfam family "tRNA". Rfam says of the family: Transfer RNA (tRNA) molecules are approximately 80 nucleotides in length. Their secondary structure includes four short double-helical elements and three loops (D, anti-codon, and T loops). The record is from Rfam by way of RNAcentral. Lineage: Eukaryota; Metazoa; Chordata; Mammalia; Rodentia; Sciuridae. RNAcentral also lists the same sequence under 3 other names.